RNAcentral lists this ribosomal RNA (253 nucleotides) under uncultured bacterium. RNAcentral's name for it is "partial 16S ribosomal RNA". It matches the Rfam family "Bacterial small subunit ribosomal RNA", at positions 524 to 776 of the family's 1533-position model. The record is from RNAcentral.
UACGAAGGGGGCUAGCGUUGCUCGGAAUUACUGGGCGUAAAGGGCGCGUAGGCGGACAGUUUAGUCAGAGGUGAAACCCCGGGGCUCAACCCCGGAACUGCAUCCGAUACUGCGUGGCUAGAGGUAGGUAGGGGAGAUCGGAAUUCCUGGUGUAGCGGUGAAAUGCGCAGAUAUCAGGAGGAACACCGGUGGCGAAGGCGGAUCUCUGGGCCUUACCUGACGCUCAGGCACGAAAGCUAGGGGAGCGAACAGG